GGGGGAAGCUUCGGAUGAGUAAGCGGCGGACGGGUGAGUAACGCGUAGGAAUCUACCCGGUAGUGGGGGACAACCUGGGGAAACCCAGGCUAAUACCGCAUACGCCCUAUGGGGGAAAGCGGGGGACCUUCGGGCCUCGCGCUAUCGGAUGAGCCUGCGUUGGAUUAGCUUGUUGGUGAGGUAAUGGCUCACCAAGGCGACGAUCCAUAGCUGGUCUGAGAGGAUGAUCAGCCACACUGGGACUGAGACACGGCCCAGACUCCUACGGGAGGCAGCAGUGGGGAAUAUUGCGCAAUGGGGACAACCCUGACGCAGCCAUGCCGCGUGUGUGAAGAAGGCCUUAGGGUUGUAAAGCACUUUCAAUUGGGAAGAAAAGCUGCAGAUUAAUACUCUGUAGCCCUGACAUUACCUUUAGAAGAAGCACCGGCUAACUCCGUGCCAGCAGCCGCGGUAAUACGGAGGGUGCGAGCGUUAAUCGGAAUUACUGGGCGUAAAGCGCGCGUAGGCGGUUUGUUAAGUCGGAUGUGAAAGCCCUGGGCUCAACCUGGGAACUGCAUCCGAUACUGGCCGACUAGAGUACGAGAGAGGGAGGUAGAAUUCCACGUGUAGCGGUGAAAUGCGUAGAUAUGUGGAGGAAUACCGGUGGCGAA
This 650-nucleotide ribosomal RNA is filed under the name uncultured bacterium. RNAcentral's name for it is "bacterial SSU rRNA". It matches the Rfam family "Bacterial small subunit ribosomal RNA", at positions 75 to 719 of the family's 1533-position model. The record is from RNAcentral.